CUCCGUGCCAGCAGCCGCGGUAAUACGGAGGAUCCGAGCGUUAUCCGGAUUUAUUGGGUUUAAAGGGUGCGUAGGCGGUUCGAUAAGUUGGAGGUGAAAUGUUAGGGCUUAACCCUGAAACUGCCUCCAAUACUGUUGGGCUAGAGAGUAGUUGCGGUAGGCGGAAUGUAUGGUGUAGCGGUGAAAUGCUUAGAGAUCAUACAGAACACCGAUUGCGAAGGCAGCUUACCAAACUAUAUCUGACGUUGAGGCACGAAAGCGUGGGGAGCA
This 270-nucleotide ribosomal RNA is filed under the name uncultured bacterium. RNAcentral describes it as "partial 16S ribosomal RNA". It matches the Rfam family "Bacterial small subunit ribosomal RNA", at positions 501 to 770 of the family's 1533-position model. The record is from RNAcentral.